Spea bombifrons (plains spadefoot toad) is the source of this 588-nucleotide long non-coding RNA. RefSeq lists it as uncharacterized. The transcript is spliced from 6 exons. The record is from RefSeq and is a predicted model, not a curated record. Lineage: Eukaryota; Metazoa; Chordata; Amphibia; Anura; Pelobatidae.
UCCUGUUUGCAGAGCACUUUGCAUCCGUCUCGGUACAUUCAGCGCGGCGUGAACAGUAUGCAGAGCAACACGUAUCUACCACAAAGCUGCAGAGCGGGGCUGGUGUGUAUGUAUAGGUAAUAUGGGGGUAUAGGUGUGUAUGUAUAGGUGAUAUGGGGGUAUAGGUAUGUAUGUAUAGGUAAUAUAGGGGUAUCAGUGUGUGUGUAUAGGUGAUAUAGGGUAUGAGUGUGUAUGUAUAGGUAAUAUAGGGGUAUAGGUAUGUAUGUAUAGGUAAUAUAGGGGUAUAGGUGUUUUUGUGUAGGUGAUAUAGGGUAUGAGUCUGUAUGUAUAGGUGAUAUAGGGGUAUAAGUGUAUAUGUAUAGGUAAUAUAGGGGUAGAUGUGUGUAUGUAUAGGCGAUAUAGGGUAUGAGUGUAUAUGUAUAGGUAAUAUAGGGGUAGAGGUGUGUAUGUAUAGGUGAUAUAGGGUAUGAGUGUGUAUGUAUAGGUGAUAUAGGGUAUGAGUGUGUAUGUAUAGGUUAUAUAGGGGUAGAGGUGUGUAUGUAUAGAUAAUGUAGAGGCUAUACGUGUAGACUGUUAGUUGGGGAGGUA